GUCUGCAUAGUAUAGUGGUUUGAGUGUUGGACAGAAACUCUGGAGGCUGGAGUUCGAUUCUCAGCUUGGUCA
Molecule: non-coding RNA, 72 nt
Organism: Phrynosoma platyrhinos (Desert horned lizard)
Lineage: Eukaryota; Metazoa; Chordata; Lepidosauria; Squamata; Phrynosomatidae
Source: the annotation of a GenBank genome assembly